GAAACAUGAAGUUACCGUCCCUUAAAUGAGUGUAAAAAACCAAGCAGAGGAUACAUUUUUGACAGACAGAUCCGAAGUUCCGAACACAGACGUUAAAAGAUUCUAAAUUGAGGGCAAUAAAUGCCAGAUUCUGCUUUAUUGACCUAACAACAACAAACCUGCUUUCGGUCUUAAAAAUUAAAGUAAAAAUUGACACCUAAACCCCACGUGAAUCUCAAAAAAGAAAAAAGAAAAAAAAC
This 239-nucleotide long non-coding RNA is filed under the name Citrus sinensis (sweet orange). RNAcentral describes it as "long non-coding RNA (CSIN_LNC001952)". The record is from RNAcentral. Lineage: Eukaryota; Viridiplantae; Streptophyta; Magnoliopsida; Sapindales; Rutaceae.